Molecule: ribosomal RNA, 320 nt
Filed under: uncultured eukaryote
Lineage: Eukaryota
Description: partial 18S ribosomal RNA
Rfam family: Eukaryotic small subunit ribosomal RNA
Source: RNAcentral
CCCUUAGAUGUUCUGGGCCGCGCGCGCGCUACACUGAUGCAUUCAACGAGUUCUUCCUGGUCCGAGAGGAAUGGGUAACCUUUUGAAAGUGCAUCGUGCUAGGGAUAGACUAUUGCAAUUAUUGGUCUUCAACGAGGAAUUCCUAGUAGACGUAGUUCAUCAGACUGCAUCGAUUACGUCCCUGCCCUUUGUACACACCGCCCGUCGCUCCUACCGAUUGGAUGAUCCGGUGAGCUAUUCGGACCUGUGCAUUUUCCAUUGGAACUUGCGUGGGAAAGUCUCGCGAACCUUAUCAUCUAGAGGAAGGAGAAGUCGUAACA